This 75-nucleotide transfer RNA is filed under the name Candidatus Sungiibacteriota bacterium. Its description in RNAcentral is "tRNA-Val". It matches the Rfam family "tRNA". Rfam says of the family: Transfer RNA (tRNA) molecules are approximately 80 nucleotides in length. Lineage: Bacteria; Candidatus Sungiibacteriota. The record is from RNAcentral.
GGGCGUUUAGCUCAGUGGUAGAGCGUCUCGUUUACACCGAGAAGGUCCAAGGUUCAAUCCCUUGAACGCCCACCA